RNAcentral lists this long non-coding RNA (321 nucleotides) under Elaeis guineensis (African oil palm). Its description in RNAcentral is "long non-coding RNA (EGUI_LNC033677)". The record is from RNAcentral. Lineage: Eukaryota; Viridiplantae; Streptophyta; Magnoliopsida; Arecales; Arecaceae.
AGGAUUGUCGAUCCAGAACAAUCCUAGUGAGCUCUCACAAUCCACCAGUGACACCUAGCAGUAUGUAGUGGCAAUCCAGUAGAACUGAAAUGAACCUCUAGGUGUAGUUAAUGUGUGAUUCAGUUCCUCUAUCAUGAGUUCCGACUAGAUGGCAGGUCAUGGAUAAAUUAUCAAAUCUCAACAUCAGUCAUAUAAUAGAUUGAUUAGCUCAAGUCCAGUUGUGACUUCUAUGAAAACUCUUUUUUAUCAAUCACACUGCUGUGGCCACAGACUCUUGAACUUAGCCUCUCAAAUCUCAUAAGACUACUCCUCUCUAUCAAG